This 28-nucleotide small RNA is filed under the name Bombyx mori (domestic silkworm). RNAcentral describes it as "ovarian small RNA-16202". Lineage: Eukaryota; Metazoa; Arthropoda; Insecta; Lepidoptera; Bombycidae. The record is from RNAcentral.
GCAAACAAUAGGCGAGCGAGGCGGCCGA